GGACAAGGUCUUUAUUAUUCAGAUACAUGCAGCCACUCCUCCAACGUCCCCUCUCCCAUAGGGCAAGUCCAGCUGCUCCAGGCUCUCCCCAGUGUCGCCAUUAGUCCCAGGAGCCCAGGACACCAGCACCUUCAUCCUUGGGGCCCUGCUUGCAGCACUCACCUCCUGAGAGACUAAUGUACCCGUCAUAACAAUGAGUGGUGCCCCUGGGGCAGGUCUUUACUGGGGAGUCACUUGAGCAGGUUCCAAAGGGCUGCACACAGGUAAGACACUGCUGGUCUCCUGGCUCAGGGGCACCUGGGGAGCAGAGGGAAGGUGGGGGUACGUGACUUUGUGCUCAGAGCAGCCGCCCACCUUGGACCAGAGUGUCUGUGGGUCUGGGCCUCAUUUCUCCAUGGCCCUGGAUCCCAUACCUUGAGGAGGGAGGGAGUUCAGCAGGACGCUGCUGCUGCUGGCACCAUUGCACAGGUCUGAGGAGCAGAAGUGGGCAUAGGAGGCCACGAGCACCCCAGGAGGGGCUGAGUGGAUGGAGGUCUUCUGGGAAUUUUGAGCCCCAACAGCGCUGCAGCCUUUGCUCCACACCAGGGUCGAUGUAUAUAAAGCUGCAGGAAUACAAAUGGGAUUGGAUCUGCAGCGCCUAAGACAGAUGCUGGAUAAACAUUUCCAGCCUGUAUGAAGCCACUGAGAUUCCUCAGUGUUGGCACGGUUCUCCGCCCUGGGCAGGGAUUACCGCAUACAUCGUCACCCCUACCCAGAAAGGACCCCAUGGUGUAUCUGCACCACAUUUUCUUUAUCCAAUCUACCAGUGAUGGAUAUUUCAGUGGAUUCCAUGGCUUUGCUGCUGUGAAGAGUGCUGUCAUAAACAUAUAAGUGCAGGAGAACAUCCAGGGUCAAGCAUGAACUGCACUGCGUUGUCUUCAUGAAAGAGAAAAACUCAGGACCCCAAUUCACCAUGACAGAAGGAAAAAAAAAAAAACUGGAAGCUGAGUCAUGCAAGAAACUGCCUUUCCUUUUGUUCCUAAGCAGACAGCUACAGAGAAAAGACACGUGGGUUCGAUCUGACAGCAGCCUGUGCCGUCACAGCUACCGCUCAUGCAUGCAUUCGGGGUGCCCAAAGUGACGCUGAAGGGGGCAUUCCUGGAUUCAGCCCUCCAGGAGACCACGAGGAGGCCGGUGCGAUAGAAUCAGAGGAAGACGCCUGGGCUGCGCAGAGGCCACUGUAAGUGAGGAGUGAAGAGGCCAAGCUGACUCCCAGCAGCCAGGGCCACUAAGGCUCAUCCAAUGAAUUUAUCCGAUGCUUUUGCGUCCACCAAUGGGGUUUCGAGUGCUGUGUGGCCAGGCUGGCCCGGCCUUGGAGAGGCCUAGAAGAAUGCCAAGCCCCGGGAGAAGGCGUUCCGGGCCUCAGCUUUGGCGUCGUGAGAUUUUUGUGAGGCGUCUGCCUGGAAGCCGGCGGAAAUUUUGCUUCUUUAAGGAGAAAAAGAAGGCUAGGGACUCAGAUUCCUGGAUUCUGAGGAAAGAGAAGGCUGGGGACCCAGAUCCUGGCUCUGAGGGGAACGAGGGUUGAGGGCCUGGGCUCCCGGGCCUGAGAGGGGAGGGGCCCAGAAUGUCGUGUCCCACGGGAAAAAGUGGUUGGAACCCAAACUCCUCGAUCCCUACAUAGGACGGGGCUGGGCUCUCAGAAUCCCGGGUUCUGAUGGGGCUGGGGCUGGGGACUGAGAUUCUGGGUCCCUGAGAGAAUGUAAGGGACCCCUGAGACUGAGGGAGAAGCGGCCUUCAGGGCCACAGUCCUGAUCCUGAAGUUGGAGAGCACUGGGUGGCAGGGCCCGAGAAUAAAAACUAUGAAAAACUGGGCCAUGAUAAACCUGUGAACUCGCUCCAGCUCUCAAGCCGAUUAGGGACAGACCGACUUCAGAGGUCCUGGUCAUAUACACCAUAAACCCCACUGUGAGGCCAGGCGCGGGGGCUCAUGCCCGGAAUCCCAGCACUUUGGGGGGCCGAGGCGGGCGGAUCACCUGAGGUCAGGAGUUC
Non-coding RNA from Chlorocebus sabaeus (green monkey), 2028 nucleotides. The record is from RefSeq and is a predicted model, not a curated record. Lineage: Eukaryota; Metazoa; Chordata; Mammalia; Primates; Cercopithecidae.